This 45-nucleotide non-coding RNA is filed under the name Schistosoma haematobium. Lineage: Eukaryota; Metazoa; Platyhelminthes; Trematoda; Strigeidida; Schistosomatidae. The record is from RNAcentral.
AUCUAGCUGAUGAGUCCCAAAUAGGAUGAAACGCUCGUCCUGUAU